Molecule: ribosomal RNA, 345 nt
Filed under: Triticum aestivum (bread wheat)
Lineage: Eukaryota; Viridiplantae; Streptophyta; Magnoliopsida; Poales; Poaceae
Description: partial small subunit ribosomal RNA
Source: RNAcentral
AUGGCAGGCGAGGGGCGGCCAGCCAGCCCGUUGGCGCCGGCGGAGCCACAGUCACAGCAGCACUACGACGACCACGUCGAUGAGAAGCAGCUCGACGACCAGCAGUUCCACGAGCUGUGUCAGCGAUAUGGGCCCUCGCAUCUUUCUGGCCGCCGCCAGCGGGUGGCCGCCGCGCCGGCUCAGAAGACGGUCCUCGAGAUUCGUUACGACAAGGGCUACCCAGAGUUCUCCGACGGCACCAGCUACAAUGGCAUCGGGGUGGACGACGCGACAGACACCGCGAGUGGCGCAGAGACUAAGAUGAGUCGUCGGAUGAUGAAGAAGCUGGCCCGUGCUGCUGUCUAA